Small nuclear RNA from Alligator mississippiensis (American alligator), 134 nucleotides. It matches the Rfam family "U4 spliceosomal RNA". From Rfam's summary of the family: U4 small nuclear RNA (U4 snRNA) is a component of the major U2-dependent spliceosome. The structure of U4 snRNA from yeast and human has been reported. The record is from Rfam. Lineage: Eukaryota; Metazoa; Chordata; Crocodylia; Alligatoridae.
AUGAAUGUAUUAAGUGGCAGUAUCGUAGCCAAUGAGGUCAACCCGAGGCGCGAUUAUUGCUAGUUGAAAACUUUUCCCUAGUGCAGACUGACCAGGAACCAGGGCCCUGGCAGUCAUUGGCCCCUGUGUUGGGG